This 598-nucleotide long non-coding RNA is filed under the name Glycine max (soybean). RNAcentral describes it as "long non-coding RNA (GMAX_LNC003323)". The record is from RNAcentral. Lineage: Eukaryota; Viridiplantae; Streptophyta; Magnoliopsida; Fabales; Fabaceae.
UUUGAAAUUCCUCUUUUUUUCCAGAAUUCCUACACCCCCUCCCCUUCAGCUCAGACUACUCUCCAAGCCGUUGACAUCAAACCAAUUGCGUCUGGCAUGGCUCACACUCUCCCCGACGAUGAUGGCAAGUCGUCCUCUGUCGCUGGGGUUUACGCUGUUCAUUGGGGUUUCGAUGGUGUGGUGUUGGUUGUGUUCAACAGAAGCAUACAUCCCUUAUGCUCCCAAAACAUGGUUUGCGAAAUAAGGCACCUUUGGUGAAGAAUUGACACUAACAAUACAAGUGAGAGUAAAUAGGUUUGCGAAAUAAGGCACCUUUUAAGAAAAUCCUAGAUGGGAGAAACAAGCUUUUAUAGGAAGAAAACCUGUUUAUAAACUUUUGCUGAGAGCGGGAGAAUUAUCAUCAAGAAGACCAACUCAUUCUACACAACAAAACAGAGAACAGAUAGGGGUUACGAGAGAGAAAAAAUGAUCCAAUAGACAUUCAAAAAUUCAAUUAAAGGAAAAGAUAAUUGGAUACCUUUCUCUUAAAAUUUUGGUAGAGUUUCCUAAUACACAUCGGUGAAUAUUAGCAAUCCCCUGUUAAAAAACCUAUCAGAAA